GCUACGGGAGGCAGCAGUGGGGAAUAUUGGGCAAUGGAGGCAACUCUGACCCAGCAACGCCGCGUGAAUGAUGAAGGUCUUCGGAUUGUAAAGUUCUUUUCUAAGGGAAGAAGAAAGUGACGGUACCUUAGGAAUAAGCCUCGGCUAACUACGUGCCAGCAGCCGCGGUAAUACGUAGGUGGCAAGCGUUAUCCGGAUUUACUGGGUGUAAAGGGCGUGUAGGCGGGACUGCAAGUCAGAUGUGAAAACCAUGGGCUCAACCCAUGGCCUGCAUUUGAAACUGUAGUUCUUGAGUGUUGGAGAGGCAGGCGGAAUUCCGUGUGUAGCGGUGAAAUGCGUAGAUAUACGGAGGAACACCAGUGGCGAAGGCGGCCUGCUGGACAAUAACUGACGCUGAGGCGCGAAAGCGUGGGGAGCAAACAGGAUUAGAUACCCCAGUAGUC
Molecule: ribosomal RNA, 443 nt
Filed under: uncultured bacterium
Lineage: Bacteria
Description: partial 16S ribosomal RNA
Rfam family: Bacterial small subunit ribosomal RNA
Source: RNAcentral